Molecule: ribosomal RNA, 245 nt
Filed under: uncultured bacterium
Lineage: Bacteria
Description: partial 16S ribosomal RNA
Rfam family: Bacterial small subunit ribosomal RNA
Source: RNAcentral
UACAUGUGGGGCAAGCGUUGUUCGGAAUUACUGGGCAUAAAGGGUGCGUAGGCGGCCUGAUGAGUCAGUGGUGAAAUCCGGUGGCCCAACCAUCGAACUGCCAUUGAUACUGUCGGGCUUGAGUGCGUGAGGGGUGACCGGAACGAGUGGUGUAGCGGUGAAAUGCGUAGAUAUCACUCGGAAGGCCAACGGCGAAGGCAGGUCACUGGUACGCAACUGACGCUGAGGCACGAAAGCGUGGGGAG